UACGUAGGGGGCAAGCGUUAUCCGGAUUUACUGGGUGUAAAGGGAGCGUAGACGGCAUAGCAAGUCUGAUGUGAAAGCCCGCGGCUCAACCGCGGGACUGCAUUGGAAACUGUUAAGCUAGAGUGCCGGAGAGGUAAGUGGAAUUCCUAGUGUAGCGGUGAAAUGCGUAGAUAUUAGGAGGAACACCAGUGGCGAAGGCGGCUUGCUGGACGAUGACUGACGUUGAGGCUCGAAAGCGUGGGGAGCAAACA
Molecule: ribosomal RNA, 251 nt
Filed under: uncultured bacterium
Lineage: Bacteria
Description: partial 16S ribosomal RNA
Rfam family: Bacterial small subunit ribosomal RNA
Source: RNAcentral